GGGCGAUGAAGAGAAAAAUUAGCAUUUCUCGAUGCUGAGUUUUGAAUCUGUGGACCUCAUUUGUUCACGUUGAUGACUUUUUAUGCGUGUCCGAGCCCU
RNAcentral lists this small nucleolar RNA (99 nucleotides) under Genlisea aurea. RNAcentral's name for it is "small nucleolar RNA snoR126". It matches the Rfam family "small nucleolar RNA snoR126". Lineage: Eukaryota; Viridiplantae; Streptophyta; Magnoliopsida; Lamiales; Lentibulariaceae. The record is from Rfam by way of RNAcentral.